This 729-nucleotide ribosomal RNA is filed under the name Candidatus Tremblayella phenacoccinincola. RNAcentral describes it as "bacterial SSU rRNA". It matches the Rfam family "Bacterial small subunit ribosomal RNA", at positions 658 to 1382 of the family's 1533-position model. Lineage: Bacteria; Pseudomonadati; Pseudomonadota; Betaproteobacteria. The record is from RNAcentral.
GGGAUAGAAUUCCAGGAGUAGCGGUGAAAUGCGUAGAUAUCUGGAGGAAUACCAAAGGCGAAGGCAGUCCCCUGGUCCGAUACUGACACUGAGGUACGAAAGCGUGGGGAGCAAACAGGAUUAGAUACCCUGGUAGUCCACGCCCUAAACGAUGUCGAUUAGCCAUUGGAAGGACCCCUUUUCCUUUCAGUGACGUAGCUAACGCGUUAAAUCGACCGCCUGGGAAGUACGACCGCAAGGUUAAAACUCAAAGGAAUUGACGGGGACCUGAACAAGCGGUGAAUGAUGUGGAUUAAUUCGAUGCUACGCGAAGAACCUUACCUACCUUUGACAUGGCCAAAGUUCUACCGAGAGGCGGAAGUACUCGUAAGAGGAUUGGCGCACAGGUGCUGCAUGGUUGUCGUCAGUUCGUGUCGUGAGAUGUUGGGUUCAGUCCCGCAACGAACGCAACCCUUAUCUUUAAUUGCUCCUAUUUUAACAGGCACUUUAAAGAAACUGCCAAUGAUAAGUUGGAGGAAGGUGGGGAUCACGUCAAGUCCGCAUGGCCUUUAUAGGUAGGGCUUCACACGUCAUACAAUGGUUGGAACAAAGAGCUGCAAAUUCGUAAGAAGGAGCCAAUCUCACAAACCUAACCUCAGUUCGAAUUGCGGUCUGCAACUCGAGCGCAUGAAGCCGGAAUCGCUAGUAAUCGUGGAUCAGAAUGCCACGGUGAAUACGUUCUUAGGUCUU